GGAGUGGCGAACGGGUGAGUAACACGUGGGUAACCUGCCCAUCAGAAGGGGAUAACACUUGGAAACAGGUGCUAAUACCGUAUAACAAUCGAAACCGCAUGGUUUUGAUUUGAAAGGCGCUUUCGGGUGUCGCUGAUGGAUGGACCCGCGGUGCAUUAGCUAGUUGGUGAGGUAACGGCUCACCAAGGCCACGAUGCAUAGCCGACCUGAGAGGGUGAUCGGCCACAUUGGGACUGAGACACGGCCCAAACUCCUACGGGAGGCAGCAGUAGGGAAUCUUCGGCAAUGGACGAAAGUCUGACCGAGCAACGCCGCGUGAGUGAAGAAGGUUUUCGGAUCGUAAAACUCUGUUGUUAGAGAAGAACAAGGAUGAGAGUAACUGUUCAUCCCUUGACGGUAUCUAACCAGAAAGCCACGGCUAACUACGUGCCAGCAGCCGCGGUAAUACGUAGGUGGCAAGCGUUGUCCGGAUUUAUUGGGCGUAAAGCGAGCGCAGGCGGUUUCUUAAGUCUGAUGUGAAAGCCCCCGGCUCAACCGGGGAGGGUCAUUGGAAACUGGGAGACUUGAGUGCAGAAGAGGAGAGUGGAAUUCCAUGUGUAGCGGUGAAAUGCGUAGAUAUAUGGAGGAACACCAGUGGCGAAGGCGGCUCUCUGGUCUGUAACUGACGCUGAGGCUCGAAAGCGUGGGGAGCAAACAGGAUUAGAUACCCUGGUAGUCCACGCCGUAAACGAUGAGUGCUAAGUGUUGGAGGGUUUCCGCCCUUCAGUGCUGCAGCUAACGCAUUAAGCACUCCGCCUGGGGAGUACGACCGCAAGGUUGAAACUCAAAGGAAUUGACGGGGGCCCGCACAAGCGGUGGAGCAUGUGGUUUAAUUCGAAGCAACGCGAAGAACCUUACCAGGUCUUGACAUCCUUUGACCACUCUAGAGAUAGAGCUUCCCCUUCGGGGGCAAAGUGACAGGUGGUGCAUGGUUGUCGUCAGCUCGUGUCGUGAGAUGUUGGGUUAAGUCCCGCAACGAGCGCAACCCUUAUUGUUAGUUGCCAUCAUUCAGUUGGGCACUCUAGCAAGACUGCCGGUGACAAACCGGAGGAAGGUGGGGAUGACGUCAAAUCAUCAUGCCCCUUAUGACCUGGGCUACACACGUGCU
RNAcentral lists this ribosomal RNA (1147 nucleotides) under Enterococcus faecium. RNAcentral's name for it is "bacterial SSU rRNA". It matches the Rfam family "Bacterial small subunit ribosomal RNA", at positions 92 to 1226 of the family's 1533-position model. Lineage: Bacteria; Bacillati; Bacillota; Bacilli; Lactobacillales; Enterococcaceae. The record is from RNAcentral.